GUAUGGGCAUGGUGAGCAAGUGGGAAUGGUGACUAAGCAAGCUGACAUUGGCCUCCUCCCUUCUCCCAAAAGAUUGGGAUCCUCUUGAACUGCCCUGUGGACUCAAGGGAGAGGGUUUGCUGUGUCUCCCAGACUCUGCUUAGGAGGGCUAAAGUGCAGAGUGGAGACUUGGGUACUAGUUAACUUGUCAAGGAAUGAGAAAAGGGAGAGAGCCCUGACAUUUUGCCAACCUCUAAAAGUGAAAGAAGCAGGUUUUUUUUUUUUUUUUUUUUUAACACUUUCAGAUACAUAUCCUGAGUGGCAGAGGUCAGUGUCUGCAACUGAUCCAUGUGGGCUCAGGCUUCUAAUUAUUUCCUGGAUAACCUGUUAUCUAUUAGCAAUCAUGCUGCUUGCCAAAAUAUGCUAAUGUGUCCAGACUUCCUGGUCUGGAUUCUGAGAAGCAAAUUUUAUUGUUUGUCUUUUUUUCUGCCUGAGCUUCACCACUCUGGGCCUGCUUUUUCAGAUAGAAAGAGAAAAACAGAGACAGAGGGAGAGAGGGAAAGAUCUGACAGCACUAAAUCUUCCCUCAGUGAGAAGGGACUGGACUUGAAGCUGGUUCACGGACAUGGCAAAGCGGGUGCACUAUCCAGAAAGAAAUACAUCCCUCCAAUGGAUUUGUGCAAAGUCAAUUUGAAGACCUUCUGGAAAGGAUUCAGUAUUCUAAAUGUCAGUAAGAAAAUAAGUGAUUUCUGGGAGGAGAUAAAAAUCUCAACAUUAGUUGAAAAACAAGAUCAGAAGAGAAAACACUAGUAGAACCUGGACUGGAAUUGGCGUAUUGCACCAAGUUCUUUUCCCCAAGCCUUGGUUGAUACCUAAUUUAAAUCUCCUGGUCUCCUGUGGUCCUAACCAUCUGGAGACCAUGUUUUGAAAGGCAGUGGUGGAAUCAGACCAAGGAAAGGAACUGGAUUUUAGUGCCUCUCGGUUAAGCCACCAGGUUCCAGAUGCUAACAUGAUGUGACCAGACUUCCCUGGAGAGACAACCCCAUCAAUGUGCCUGGCAGCUCUGCUUCCCCAGAGGAAAGAGACAGGCUGGGAGUAUGGAUCGACCUAUCAAUACCCAUGUUCAGCGGGAAAGCAAUUACAGAAGCCAGUCCUUCAACCUUCUGCAUCCCACAAUGAUCUUGGGUCCAUACUCACAGCGGGUUAAAGAGUAGGAAAGCUGUCAGGGGAAGGGUUGGUAUAUGGAGGUCUGGUGGUGGGAACUGUGCGAAGCUGUACCCCUCAUGUCAAUGUUUCCUUUUUUAUAAAUAAAAAGUU
This is a long non-coding RNA of Erinaceus europaeus (western European hedgehog), 1296 nucleotides long. RefSeq lists it as uncharacterized. The record is from RefSeq and is a predicted model, not a curated record. The transcript has 5 exons. NCBI's taxonomy places the organism in Eukaryota, Metazoa, Chordata, Mammalia, Eulipotyphla, Erinaceidae.